GCAGUCGCCACGGUAAUACCAGCACCUCGAGUGGUCAGGAGGUUUAUUGGGCCUAAAGCAUCCGUAGCCGGUUGCAUAAGUUUUCGGUUAAAUCUAUGCGCUUAACGUAUAGGCCGCCGAAAAUACUGUGCAGCUAGGGAGUGGGAGAGGUACACGGUACUCGAUAGGAAGGGGUAAAAUCCUUUGAUCUAUUGAUGACCACCUGUGGCGAAGGCGGUGUACCAGAACACGUUCGACGGUGAGGGAUGAAAGCUGGGGGAGCAAACCGGAUUAGAUACCCCCGUAGUCCCUGUCUCUUAUAC
Molecule: ribosomal RNA, 302 nt
Filed under: uncultured bacterium
Lineage: Bacteria
Description: partial 16S ribosomal RNA
Rfam family: Archaeal small subunit ribosomal RNA
Source: RNAcentral